This is a long non-coding RNA of Hermetia illucens (black soldier fly), 430 nucleotides long. RefSeq lists it as uncharacterized. The transcript has 3 exons. Lineage: Eukaryota; Metazoa; Arthropoda; Insecta; Diptera; Stratiomyidae. The record is from RefSeq and is a predicted model, not a curated record.
UGUGAAUGGAAUUUCCUGGUGUGGAGCAUUUAGAGUUCAUUUGAACAGUUUAACGGAAAAAUGGUGUGUUUAUUGUGGGUAAUAUAGAAGGAAACAUCCUUGCUAAACAAUAGUUCACUAAUUAAUUAUAGAAAGCCACAUCUGUUGAAAUACAGCAUAUUCCUCAUCAUAAAUAGUGACCAACAUUACAUUUUCUAUAGGAUUCAACAGCCUCACAUGAACGACAUUUUUCCUUACCGAAACAGGAACAAACCUAACACACGCAGCAGCUCUGCCAUUAAAAUCUUUUCACACAUAUUAUAACAAAAAUAUUACUCUCCGACGAGAGCUAGUCUAACUAGCACUAUGGAAACCCAUUAAGAAGAUUCUUGUAUAUAACCUCACUAAUUGCGAAUUGCGAAUAGGCAGAGCAAAAGUCCCUAUUAUCAAA